This 164-nucleotide ribosomal RNA is filed under the name Musa acuminata (dwarf banana). RNAcentral's name for it is "5.8S ribosomal RNA". It matches the Rfam family "5.8S ribosomal RNA". Rfam says of the family: 5.8S ribosomal RNA (5.8S rRNA) is a component of the large subunit of the eukaryotic ribosome. It is transcribed by RNA polymerase I as part of the 45S precursor that also contains 18S and 28S rRNA. Functionally, it is thought that 5.8S rRNA may be involved in ribosome translocation. The record is from RNAcentral. Lineage: Eukaryota; Viridiplantae; Streptophyta; Magnoliopsida; Zingiberales; Musaceae.
UGGACGAUUCUCGGCAACGGAUAUCUCGGCUCUCGCAUCGAUGAAAAACGUAGCGAAAUGCGAUACCUGGGGUGAAUUGAAAAAUCCCGUGAACCAUCGAGUCUUUGAACGCAAGUUGCGCCCGAGGCCAUCCGGCUAAGGGCACGCCUGCCUGGGCGUCACGU